RNAcentral lists this ribosomal RNA (512 nucleotides) under uncultured bacterium. Its description in RNAcentral is "partial 16S ribosomal RNA". It matches the Rfam family "Bacterial small subunit ribosomal RNA", at positions 28 to 523 of the family's 1533-position model. The record is from RNAcentral.
GACGAACGCUGACGGCGUGCCUAAUACAUGCAAGUCGAGCGGAACUGGGGGAGCUUGCUCCUUCCAGUUUAGCGGCGGACGGGUGAGUAACACGGGGGCAACCUGCCCUGCAGAUCGGGAUAACUCCGGGAAACCGGUGCUAAUACCGAAUAGUUUGGCGCCUCUCCUGAGGCGCUACGGAAAGACGGUUUCGGCUGUCACUGCAGGAUGGGCCCGCGGCGCAUUAGCUAGUUGGUGGGGUAACGGCCCACCAAGGCGACGAUCCGUAGCCGACCUGAGAAGGUGACAGGCAACGCUGGGACUGAGCCACGGCCCCGACUCCUACGGGGGGCAGGAGAAAGGAAUCUUCCGCAGUGGACGAAAGACUGACGGAGCAACGCCGCGUGAGUGAAGAAGGUUUUCGGAUCGUAAAACUCUGUUGUGAGGGAAGAACACGUACCAACUAACUAUUGGUACCUUGACGGUACCUCGCCAGAAAGCCGCGGCUAACUACGUGCCAGCCGCCGCAGUAA